AGGACGAACGCUGGCGGCGUGCUUAACACAUGCAAGUCGAGCGGUAAGGCCUUUCGGGGUACACGAGCGGCGAACGGGUGAGUAACACGUGGGUGAUCUGCCCUGCACUCUGGGAUAAGCCUGGGAAACUGGGUCUAAUACCGGAUAUGACCUGCUCUCGCAGUGGGGGGUGGUAGGAAAGUAUUUUAGUCGGUG
This 195-nucleotide ribosomal RNA is filed under the name uncultured soil bacterium. Its description in RNAcentral is "partial 16S ribosomal RNA". It matches the Rfam family "Bacterial small subunit ribosomal RNA", at positions 26 to 220 of the family's 1533-position model. The record is from RNAcentral.